UCCGAGAAUAAACAAUUCCGUCAGCCUUGACUACAGGUCGAGGAGUCCAGCUCAGUCCGAACAAAUACGCGCUGUAGACUCUCUACAUUAUUCGUUUUAUUUGUGUGUUUUUGGUGAAGGUGCGCAUGUGGACUCAAAUUGGUUUUCCGAAGACUUGCCGAAGGAUUUCCCCUCGUGUCCAACAUCAGAGACCUCGCGCCUUUUCGACUGUACUGUCCAUGACCAUUUAGCGGAACCAGGCAGGCACGCGGGCAGCCCCGGGGCAAGGCAGGAAGUCAGCCGGGUGAGCGCCCAGAGAGACCCAAGGCCAAGGAAGCGAAUCGCCGAGCCCUGCAGAGCCAAGGCCAGACUGGACAAGCAGAAAGGGGGACGCCAAGGAUACUAAACAGAUCUCCCCGCGGCUCCCCUUGAGAUCAGCGAGGCAGAAAGACGACACUGGGACUGGGAGAAUCUCUCCCCCGGGGAAACAAUCGGCAGACAGACAUCCCAAACAUCUCCCCCUCCACUCCACUCUCCUCUCCUGUCCCCGUACCCGUACCCGUACCCGGCAGUGGAAUGCUUCAGCUGGGGCUGGGACUCUGGAGAUCGUGGUGGGCACGGCAGUCCGCUUGAUUCCUCGCCGGCUGGUUGUGUAAACCAGCUUCAUCUCCCAAAGCCCCAA
Engraulis encrasicolus (European anchovy) is the source of this 661-nucleotide long non-coding RNA. RefSeq lists it as uncharacterized. NCBI's taxonomy places the organism in Eukaryota, Metazoa, Chordata, Actinopteri, Clupeiformes, Engraulidae. The record is from RefSeq and is a predicted model, not a curated record. The transcript has 3 exons.